AUUGAACGCUGGCGGCAGGCCUAACACAUGCAAGUCGAACGGUAACAGGAAGAAGCUUGCUUCUUUGCUGACGAGUGGCGGACGGGUGAGUAAUGUCUGGGAAACUGCCUGAUGGAGGGGGAUAACUACUGGAAACGGUAGCUAAUACCGCAUAACGUCGCAAGACCAAAGAGGGGGACCUUCGGGCCUCUUGCCUUCGGCUGUGCCCAGAUGGGAUUAGCUAGUAGGUGGGGUAACGGCUCACCUAGGCGACGAUCCCUAGCUGGUCUGAGAGGAUGACCAGCCACACUGGAACUGAGACACGGUCCAGACUCCUACGGGAGGCAGCAGUGGGGAAUAUUGCACAAUGGGCGCAAGCCUGAUGCAGCCAUGCCGCGUGUAUGAAGAAGGCCUUCGGGUUGUAAAGUACUUUCAGCGGGGAGGAAGGGAGUAAAGUUAAUACCUUUACUCAUUGACGUUACCCGCAGAAGAAGCACCGGCUAACUCCGUG
Molecule: ribosomal RNA, 490 nt
Filed under: uncultured bacterium
Lineage: Bacteria
Description: partial 16S ribosomal RNA
Rfam family: Bacterial small subunit ribosomal RNA
Source: RNAcentral